CCUACGGGAGGCAGCAGUCGGGAAUCUUGCACAAUGGGCGAAAGCCUGAUGCAACAACGCCGUGUGAGCGAUGAAGGCCUUAGGGUCGUAAAGCUCUGUUGUUAGGGACGAAGGGCGAAGGGUUAAUAGCCCUUAGCCUGACGGUACCUUUCGAGGAAGCCCCGGCUAACUACGUGCCAGCAGCCGCGGUAAUACGUAGGGGGCGAGCGUUGUCCGGAAUUAUUGGGCGUAAAGGGCGCGUAGGCGGCCUGGUAAGUCUGCUGUGAAACCUUGGGGCUCAACCCCAAGCGUGCAGUGGAUACUGUCAGGCUAGAGGAUGGUAGAGGCCAGUGGAAUUCCCGGUGUAGCGGUGAAAUGCGCAGAUAUCGGGAGGAACACCAGUAGCGAAGGCGGCUGGCUGGGCCAUUCCUGACGCUGAGGCGCGAAAGCUAGGGGAGCGAACAGGAUUAGAUACCCUGGUAGUCCUAGCCGUAAACGAUGAACACUAGGUGUGGGGGGAGUCGAAUCCCUCCGUGCCGAAGCCAACGCGUUAAGUGUUCCGCCUGGGGAGUACGGCCGCAAGGCUAAAACUCAAAUGAAUUGACGGGG
This 588-nucleotide ribosomal RNA is filed under the name uncultured Rubrobacter sp. RNAcentral describes it as "bacterial SSU rRNA". It matches the Rfam family "Bacterial small subunit ribosomal RNA", at positions 338 to 918 of the family's 1533-position model. Lineage: Bacteria; Bacillati; Actinomycetota; Rubrobacteria; Rubrobacterales; Rubrobacteraceae. The record is from RNAcentral.